RNAcentral lists this ribosomal RNA (397 nucleotides) under uncultured bacterium. RNAcentral's name for it is "bacterial SSU rRNA". It matches the Rfam family "Bacterial small subunit ribosomal RNA", at positions 28 to 431 of the family's 1533-position model. The record is from RNAcentral.
GACGAACGCUGGCGGCGUGCUUAACACAUGCAAGUCGAGCGGUAAGGCCCUUUCGGGGGUACACGAGCGGCGAACGGGUGAGUAACACGUGGGUGACCUGCCCUCAGCUCUGGGAUAAGCCUGGGAAACCGGGUCUAAUACCGGAUAUGACUCCAUGACGCAUGUUGUGGGGUGGAAAGCCUUGUGCGGCUGAGGAUGGGCCCGCGGCCUAUCAGCUUGUUGGUGGGGUGAUGGCCUACCAAGGCGACGACGGGUAGCCGGCCUGAGAGGGCGACCGGCCACACUGGGACUGAGACACGGCCCAGACUCCUACGGGAGGCAGCAGUGGGGAAUCUUGCGCAAUGGGCGAAAGCCUGACGCAGCGACGCCGCGUGAGGGAUGACGGCCUCGGUGUACC